Physcomitrium patens is the source of this 899-nucleotide non-coding RNA. The record is from RefSeq and is a predicted model, not a curated record. NCBI's taxonomy places the organism in Eukaryota, Viridiplantae, Streptophyta, Bryopsida, Funariales, Funariaceae.
ACCUGCAGCUGCAGAUGAGCACCGCUGAAUCGCAUUCUUGCUGCUGAUUCCCUGUCUACGCGAACUCGAAUGAACAAUCAGCAGCUUUAGCACACUCACUUGCGGUGCAUUUGUGGCCACGUUUUGGUUGAUCAUGUAGCCGCAUGCCGCAUUGCUAAGGGGUUGUGUGUUUCCAUGCUUCGGAAUUCAUACAACACGCAGAGUUUACGUUGCUUUCACAAUAUCAGACCUCACGCACAUUAACAAUUAGGUUUGAGUUGCUGCGAGAGAGAGGCGACUGUAGAGCCAGAGUGAGGUUUGAGUGAGGAGAUAUAUUGGAGAUCCGCCUGAAUCUGCUCCUUAUUGAGCCCAUCCGAGUUCUGGAGAAGUGAAACGGCUGGAAUUGCGGUUGACAGGUGUUACUUACAUACAUAUAUAUAUAUAUAUAUAUGUAUAGACACAUACACACACACUCACCAUGAUGGCCUCAGCUUGAAGUCUCAAAUACGCAGUAGCAGAGCAAAAGCACCUGCUUGAGAAUGCCGGUGAGAGCUCCACAUUCUACACAGCGUUGGUUGGGUGACAGAGAUCGGGCCUCCAAGUAAUCUAGAGCAUUGUAACACUGAAGCCUUUAAAAUUGUAGAAAAAUAAAAAUUAGGUGCAAAUAACAGUCAAUUUCAUUUGUUUAGGGGUACAUGGUGGUAGAGUAAUAAGAUUAAAUUAGGGUUUUAAGCAUGGCAACUUCUGCCAAAACAUGUGAGUUCAAUAAAAGCAUUUGAAGCUAAGGACAAGUGACCAAGAAUUGAGAAUUAUGGAUGUAACAAAAAAAAGAUAGUAGAGGCAUUUGGCAUUAAUAGAAAAGGAGAGGACUUCAUUCAACCAAAGCAACCUCUAAUGAGUUGUUUAUAAAGGACUUUUUA